AUACCUUUCUCGGCCUUUUGGCUAAGAUCAAGUGUAGUAUCUGUUCUUAUCAGUUUAAUAUCUGAUAUGUGAGUCAUCGACUCACACGAUAUUAACUCUAUUUUUUAAGGGGGAGAGUCCAUUAAGGUAGCUUGCUACUUGGGCUCUCAAGCGUCGCUUUGGCGUUGCACUUCAGCCAAAGCCUGGCGUACCCCAC
This is a non-coding RNA of Nicotiana sylvestris (wood tobacco), 196 nucleotides long. NCBI's taxonomy places the organism in Eukaryota, Viridiplantae, Streptophyta, Magnoliopsida, Solanales, Solanaceae. The record is from Rfam.